UCGAGAAUUUUUCUCAAUGGGGGAAACCCUGAAGGAGCGACGCCGCGUGGGGGAUGAAUGGCUUCGGCCCGUAAACCCCUGUCAUUUGCGAACAAACCUUUCGUGUGAAUAGCACGGGAGCUGAUUGUAGCAGAAGAGGAAGGGACGGCUAACUCUGUGCCAGCAGCCGCGGUAAUACAGAGGUCCCAAGCGUUGUUCGGAUUCACUGGGCGUAAAGGGUGCGUAGGUGGUGAGGUAAGUUUGACGUGAAAGCUCCGAGCUUAACUCGGAAAUUGCGUUGAAUACUAUCUUGCUAGAGGGUUGUAGGGGGGACUGGAAUUCUCGGUGUAGCAGUGAAAUGCGUAGAUAUCGAGAGGAACACCAGUGGCGAAGGCGAGUCCCUGGACAACUCCUGACACUGAGGCACGAAAGCUAGGGGAGCAAACA
Molecule: ribosomal RNA, 426 nt
Filed under: uncultured bacterium
Lineage: Bacteria
Description: bacterial SSU rRNA
Rfam family: Bacterial small subunit ribosomal RNA
Source: RNAcentral